GAAAUGCGAUAAGUAGUGUGAAUUGCAGAAUUCAGUGAAUCAUCGAAUCUUUGAACGCACAUUGUGCCCCUUGGUAUUCCAUGGGGCAUGCCUGUUCGAGCGUCAUCUACACCCUCAAGCUCUGCUUGGUGUUGGGCGUCUGUCCCGCCCCCGCGCGUGGACUCGCCCCAAAUCCAUUGGCAGCGUUCCUUGCCCCCUCUCGCGCAGCACAUUGCGCUUCUCGAGGGCGGCUCCGGGACGCGAUCCAGCAAGAUGACCACCGUCUUUGACCUCGGAUCAGGUAGGGAUACCCGCUGAACUUAAGC
This 305-nucleotide unclassified non-coding RNA is filed under the name plant metagenome. RNAcentral's name for it is "partial contains 5.8S ribosomal RNA, internal transcribed spacer 2, and large subunit ribosomal RNA". The stretch from base 1 to 105 matches the Rfam family "5.8S ribosomal RNA", at positions 50 to 154 of the family's 154-position model. The record is from RNAcentral.